RNAcentral lists this ribosomal RNA (352 nucleotides) under Eukaryota sp. RNAcentral describes it as "SSU rRNA". It matches the Rfam family "Eukaryotic small subunit ribosomal RNA", at positions 1324 to 1699 of the family's 1831-position model. The record is from RNAcentral.
GGCGUUAACGAACGAGACCUUAACCUGCUAAAUAGCCCGACCCGCAUCCGCGGGCCGCUGGCUUCUUAGAGGGACUAUCGGCUCAAGCCGAUGGAAGUUUGAGGCAAUAACAGGUCUGUGAUGCCCUUAGAUGUUCUGGGCCGCACGCGCGCUACACUGACGGGGUCAACGAGUAUAAUCCUUGGCCGAAAGGUCUGGGUAAUCUUGUUAAACCCCGUCGUGCUGGGGAUAGGGCAUUGCAAUUAUUGUCCUUCAACGAGGAAUUCCUAGUAAGCGCAAGUCAUCAGCUUGCGUUGAUUACGUCCCUGCCCUUUGUACACACCGCCCGUCGCUAUUACCGAUUGAAUGGGUU